This 492-nucleotide ribosomal RNA is filed under the name uncultured bacterium. Its description in RNAcentral is "partial 16S ribosomal RNA". It matches the Rfam family "Bacterial small subunit ribosomal RNA", at positions 28 to 507 of the family's 1533-position model. The record is from RNAcentral.
GAUGAACGCUAGCUACAGGCUUAACACAUGCAAGUCGAGGGGAAACGACAUCGAAAGCUUGCUUUUGAUGGGCGUCGACCGGCGCACGGGUGAGUAACGCGUAUCCAACCUGCCCACCACUUGGGGAUAACCUUGCGAAAGUAAGACUAAUACCCAAUGAUAUCUCUAGAAGACAUCUGAAAGAGAUUAAAGAUUUAUCGGUGAUGGAUGGGGAUGCGUCUGAUUAGCUUGUUGGCGGGGUAACGGCCCACCAAGGCAACGAUCAGUAGGGGUUCUGAGAGGAAGGUCCCCCACAUUGGAACUGAGACACGGUCCAAACUCCUACGGGAGGCAGCAGUGAGGAAUAUUGGUCAAUGGACGAGAGUCUGAACCAGCCAAGUAGCGUGCAGGAAGACGGCCCUAUGGGUUGUAAACUGCUUUUAUAAGGGAAUAAAGUGAGUCUCGUGAGACUUUUUGCAUGUACCUUAUGAACAAGGACCGGCUAAUUCCGUG